GAUGAACGCUGGCGGCGUGCCUAAUACAUGCAAGUCGAGCGAACGGACGAGAAGCUUGCUUCUCUGAUGUUAGCGGCGGACGGGUGAGUAACACGUGGAUAACCUACCUAUAAGACUGGGAUAACUUCGGGAAACCGGAGCUAAUACCGGAUAAUAUUUUGAACCGCAUGGUUCAAAAGUGAAAGACGGUCUUGCUGUCACUUAUAGAUGGAUCCGCGCUGCAUUAGCUAGUUGGUAAGGUAACGGCUUACCAAGGCAACGAUGCAUAGCCGACCUGAGAGGGUGAUCGGCCACACUGAAACUGAGACACGGUCCAGACUCCUACGGGAGGCAGCAGUAGGGAAUCUUCCGCAAUGGGCGAAAGCCUGACGGAGCAACGCCGCGUGAGUGAUGAAGGUCUUCGGAUCGUAAAACUCUGUUAUUAGGGAAGAACAUAUGUGUAAGUAACUGUGCACAUCUUGACGGUACCUAAUCAGAAAGCCACGGCUAACUACGUGCCAGCAGCCGCGGUAAUACGUAGGUGGCAAGCGUUAUCCGGAAUUAUUGGGCGUAAAGCGCGCGUAGGCGGUUUUUUAAGUCUGAUGUGAAAGCCCACGGCUCAACCGUGGAGGGUCAUUGGAAACUGGAAAACUUGAGUGCAGAAGAGGAAAGUGGAAUUCCAUGUGUAGCGGUGAAAUGCGCAGAGAUAUGGAGGAACACCAGUGGCGAAGGCGACUUUCUGGUCUGUAACUGACGCUGAUGUGCGAAAGCGUGGGGAUCAAACAGGAUUAGAUACCCUGGUAGUCCACGCCGUAAACGAUGAGUGCUAAGUGUUAGGGGGUUUCCGCCCCUUAGUGCUGCAGCUAACGCAUUAAGCACUCCGCCUGGGGAGUACGACCGCAAGGUUGAAACUCAAAGGAAUUGACGGGGACCCGCACAAGCGGUGGAGCAUGUGGUUUAAUUCGAAGCAACGCGAAGAACCUUACCAAAUCUUGACAUCCUUUGACAACUCUAGAGAUAGAGCUUUCCCCUUCGGGGGACAAAGUGACAGGUGGUGCAUGGUUGUCGUCAGCUCGUGUCGUGAGAUGUUGGGUUAAGUCCCGCAACGAGCGCAACCCUUAAGCUUAGUUGCCAUCAUUAAGUUGGGCACUCUAAGUUGACUGCCGGUGACAAACCGGAGGAAGGUGGGGAUGACGUCAAAUCAUCAUGCCCCUUAUGAUUUGGGCUACACACGUGCUACAAUGGACAAUACAAAGGGCAGCGAAACCGCGAGGUCAAGCAAAUCCCAUAAAGUUGUUCUCAGUUCGGAUUGUAGUCUGCAACUCGACUACAUGAAGCUGGAAUCGCUAGUAAUCGUAGAUCAGCAUGCUACGGUGAAUACGUUCCCGGGUCU
This 1372-nucleotide ribosomal RNA is filed under the name uncultured bacterium. RNAcentral's name for it is "bacterial SSU rRNA". It matches the Rfam family "Bacterial small subunit ribosomal RNA", at positions 28 to 1381 of the family's 1533-position model. The record is from RNAcentral.